GACGAACGCUGGCGGCGUGCUUAACACAUGCAAGUCGAACGGAAAGGCCCUGCUUUUGUGGGGUGCUCGAGUGGCGAACGGGUGAGUAACACGUGAGUAACCUGCCCUUGACUUUGGGAUAACUUCAGGAAACUUGGGCUAAUACCGGAUAGGAGCUCCUGCUGCAUGGUGGGGGUUGGAAAGUUUCGGCGGUUGGGGAUGGACUCGCGGCUUAUCAGCUUGUUGGUGGGGUAGUGGCUUACCAAGGCUUUGACGGGUAGCAGGCCUGAGAGGGUGACCGGCCACAUUGGGACUGAGAUACGGCCCAGACUCCUACGGGAGGCAGCAGUGGGGAAUAGUGCACAAUGGGCGGAAGCAUGAUGCAGCAAAGCAGCGUGCGGGAUGACGGCCUUCGGGUUGUAAACCGAUUUCGCCUGUGACGAAGCGUGAGUGACGGUAAUGGGUAAAGAAGCACCGGCUAACUACGUG
This 468-nucleotide ribosomal RNA is filed under the name uncultured bacterium. RNAcentral's name for it is "partial 16S ribosomal RNA". It matches the Rfam family "Bacterial small subunit ribosomal RNA", at positions 28 to 507 of the family's 1533-position model. The record is from RNAcentral.